CUUUUGAAUUCGUUGUUUCCGGAAUUUUAUUACUUCCGUUGACAGCCAUUUUAUAAGACGCUUCUGUGGUGCUCGCGUAUGUUUGCUUCUAUUUUCAGUCGAAGACUCGUUUUAUAAGCCUCGGAAUUUAAGAGAGAUUAUCUAGGAUUUCCCGUGUCGCUUAUUAUCUCUAACAAAUUUCGAAAAUCAUGAAUGCAGAAGAGAUACAAAUUCCAAAUAAUGACGAAAGAGAUCGAAGUAGAGAAAGAGAUCGGAUGAGAAGAUUAGAUAGACAAAACCGUAUCAAUUCUACUAGUCGUGAUAGGAGUAGAGAAAGAAAUGAUCGUGUUGGUAGAAAAGCAUCGGACACUAGGAUUUAUGUGUCCAAUAUACCAUAUGAUUUUCGAUGGCAGGACUUGAAGGAUUUGUUUAGAACACACGUUGGCAAGGUGGCACACGUUGAACUUUUUACAGAUGAAAAUGAUAAGCCUCGUGGUUGUGGUAUCGUAGAAUUUGAAGAUGCAGAAUCUGUUAAAGUUGCAGUUGAGAAGAUGCAUCGUUUUGACACCAAAGGAAGAAAAUUAGUUGUAAAAGAGGUAAUUCAAGAGGACUUUGAUGUUGAGCGUGAUAAAUAUGGUCGUUUAGCAACAGCACGUAAUAAUGAUAGACCGAGAGAUGAUAGGUUUAGGGAUCCUCCUCGGCAACAAGGAGUUGGUAGACAAAACAUGCCUGCACCUAGUGGAGGUGGUGGUGUUGGGGGUGGUGGUGUUGGUGGCGGCGGUGGUGGUGGUGGUGGCGGAGGAGGUGGAGGCGAUAGCAAAUUUGGUAACACUUAUGGACUAAGUACGCAAUUCUUGGAAUCCUUAGGCAUCAAUGGACCGUUGGUUACAAGAGUCUUUGUAGCAAAUUUGGACUAUAAAGUGGAUGAAAAGAAAUUAUUGGAAGUAUUUAAAUUAGCUGGAAAAGUCUUACACGUUGAGUUGGGCAAAGAUAAGGACGGAAAAUCUCGAGGUUUUGGAGUUGUAGAAUAUGACCACCCUGUAGAAUCUGUACAGGCUAUUUCAAUGUUGCACAAUCAACAACUUUAUGAUAGACGAAUGACAGUAAGACUCGAUAGAGCUAACGAACCAGAUAUGCCACCAAAAUUGCCAGAAGGUUUAAAGGGCAUUGGAAUGGGAUUGGGAGCUGGAGGAAACAGAUUAAUGGAUGUAGCUCGAAACAUUCCUAGCGUACAAGCCAACAAUCCACCUGUUGUAAAUCCAAUCUCUGCUCCUGUUUUGGCUGCUGGUGCUUUCGGCGCUGGAUUAAAUAAUGUCGUGCCUGCGCAAUUAGCAUCUGCGUUGUCAAAUUCAAACGCUGCAGCAAUUCAAGCAAGUCUUGCCGGUGGAUUAGGAGCAAAUCUAACUACAAGUUCUUUGUUAAACUCAUCUUUAACAAAUGAUCUGGCUUCUAAUUUGAACAGCUUUGGUGGAGGAGUUGGGGGUUUAUCAGGUUUGCAAGCUUCUUUAGCUGGUGGACAAGGCAAUAAUUCUUUUGCACCAAGAGGCUUGUCUAAAAUGGACAACGACUUAGGAUUCGGUGGUAAUAAUGCUUUCGGAAGUUCAUCAUUCGGUGGUGGCAGAGAUUUUGAUGGAGGCUUCAACAGAGGGGAUGGCGAUCGUAUUUCUGGAGGAGGCGGUGCCUUCUCGGGUAAUCAAGGACAAGGUGGUGGAGGUAAUCGACAAAAUGCUAAUGGAUCUCGACCAAUGUCGGAUACAAUUCUCAUAGGAAACUUACCAGCUAACACUACAUGGCAAAUGUUGCGAGAUAAAUUCCAAGAUGUUGGCGAGGUGAAGUUUGCUGAAAUGAGAGGUACGGAUAUGGGAAUGGUGCGAUUUGUAUCGGAAUGGGAUGCGGAGCGAGCAGUGUCAAUGAUGAAUCGUUCAAGAAUUGACGGGAGGACGAUCGACGUACGCUUAUACUAACGAUAGAAUGAACUUGGAAUGGAUUAAAGAUAUACUUGAUUAUCUUUGAUCGAGGAUACGAGGAAACACUUCAUCCAGGUGGCAUGUUUUUUAUCGAAUGAAGAUCGAGACAACGUUCCGCAUAAAAGGUAAAUAUGUGUAUAAUAUAAUAUGUGUUACGUGACUUUUCUUAUAUCACUUAUAUCUAAUAGCUAAAAAAAAAAUAAACAUCAAACGCGGAAAAUGCAUACAAAUUAUGUAUAUGUAUAUAUAUAUGUAUGUAUGAUGUAUAAAAAAAAAAAUUAGAAACUAUGAUCCAUCACAAGUAAUUAGAAAUAAAUAAAAAAUAAGAAUAUACACAACACACGUGUAUAAAUAUGUCGCGUAAAUGGGAUUUUUUUUUUUCUCGUGAUUUCAAGCUUACAACAAACUCUUAAGAAAAAAAAAGAAAAACAAGCGUAGCAUAAUAAUCUUUCGCACGUUGUCUUAUCUAUAUAUAUAUAUAAUAUAUAUAUAUGUAUAAGUAAAUGUUAAUAUGUUUAUUAUAUACUUGUAAUCUAUAUCAGUGUAGGUUUAAUCAUAUUUGAAAUAAAGAUAUCAUAAUUAUUAAAUAUCGCAAAA
RNAcentral lists this unclassified non-coding RNA (2543 nucleotides) under Polistes fuscatus (common paper wasp). RNAcentral describes it as "heterogeneous nuclear ribonucleoprotein M, transcript variant X2". The record is from RNAcentral. Lineage: Eukaryota; Metazoa; Arthropoda; Insecta; Hymenoptera; Vespidae.